This 468-nucleotide ribosomal RNA is filed under the name uncultured bacterium. Its description in RNAcentral is "partial 16S ribosomal RNA". It matches the Rfam family "Bacterial small subunit ribosomal RNA", at positions 28 to 507 of the family's 1533-position model. The record is from RNAcentral.
GACGAACGCUGGCGGCGUGCUUAACACAUGCAAGUCGAACGGAAAGGCCCUGCUUUUGUGGGGUGCUCGAGUGGCGAACGGGUGGGUAACACGUGAGUAACCUGCCCUUGACUUUAGGAUAACUUCAGGAAACUGGGGCUAAUACCGGAUAGGAGCUCCUGCUGCAUGGUGGGGGUUGGAAAGUUUCGGCGGUUGGGGAUGGACUCGCGGCUUAUCAGCUUGUUGGUGGGGUAGUGGCUUACCAAGGCUUUGACGGGUAGCCGGCCUGAGAGGGUGACCGGCCACAUUGGGACUGAGAUACGGCCCAGACUCCUACGGGAGGCAGCAGUGGGGAAUAUUGCACAAUGGGCGGAAGCCUGAUGCAGCAACGCCGCGUGCGGGAUGACGGCCUUCGGGUUGUAAACCGCUUUCGCCUGUGACGAAGCGUGAGUGACGGUAAUGGGUAAAGAAGCACCGGCUAACUACGUG